AAGUCGUAACAAGGUUUCCGUAGGUGAACCUGCGGAAGGAUCAUUAAAAAAUUUAUCCUAAAUUUUGGAUUCUACCCCAAAUGUGAUAAUUAUUGGCCUUGAAAACUUGGGGACUAAAAAUGGGUGUUUCUGGCAUGAAAAUGUUGAAAGCAUUCGGCCCCAAAACUAUCAAAACUCGCUUUAAAUUUUGACUGAAAAUAUAUAAUUUUUAUAUAAUUAUCAAUAUGAUAAUCAAAUAAAACUUUCAACAACGGAUCUCUUGGUUCUC
This 268-nucleotide unclassified non-coding RNA is filed under the name fungal sp. RNAcentral describes it as "partial internal transcribed spacer region". The stretch from base 1 to 46 matches the Rfam family "Eukaryotic small subunit ribosomal RNA", at positions 1786 to 1831 of the family's 1831-position model. Lineage: Eukaryota; Fungi. The record is from RNAcentral.